Molecule: long non-coding RNA, 255 nt
Filed under: Elaeis guineensis (African oil palm)
Lineage: Eukaryota; Viridiplantae; Streptophyta; Magnoliopsida; Arecales; Arecaceae
Description: long non-coding RNA (EGUI_LNC055077)
Source: RNAcentral
CUCCGGAGUAUGAGCUGGAGCUUCCCGGGCCAACUGGCCGGGCCAGUGCUCCUCCCCCUGGUUGCUUCUGUUUAUACCAAGAGGCUUUCCAUGCCGGACUUCGACUUUCGCUUCCGCCUUUUAUGAUCGCUCUCUUCCACUUUUUAAAUAUUUCUUUAGUUUCUGUAGCAUCAAACUCUUUUAGAUUUUUGAUAGGGUUUCUUUCCCUCUGUCGCCUAGCCGAAGUCCAGCCAACCCUUUCUCUGUUCAAAAAUU